Molecule: ribosomal RNA, 253 nt
Filed under: uncultured bacterium
Lineage: Bacteria
Description: partial 16S ribosomal RNA
Rfam family: Bacterial small subunit ribosomal RNA
Source: RNAcentral
UACAGGGGGUGCAAACGUUGCUCGGAAUUAUUGGGCGUAAAGCGCGCGUAGGCGGGGAGGUAAGUCGGGUGUGAAAUCCCUCGGCCCAACUUAGGAACUGCGCCCGAGACUGCUUCUCUUGAGUCCCGGAGAGGAAGAUGGAAUUCCCGGUGUAGCGGUGAAAUGUGUAGAGAUCGGGAGGAACACCGGUGGCGAAGGCGGUCUUCUGGACGGUGACUGACGCUGAGGCGCGAAAGCGUGGGGAGCAAACGGG